This is a non-coding RNA of Rattus norvegicus (Norway rat), 67 nucleotides long. The record is from Rfam. Lineage: Eukaryota; Metazoa; Chordata; Mammalia; Rodentia; Muridae.
GGGGAUUUAGCUCAGUGGUAGAGCGCUUGCCUAGCAAGCACAAGGCCCUGGCUGGGUUCAGUCCCCA